RNAcentral lists this ribosomal RNA (300 nucleotides) under uncultured bacterium. RNAcentral describes it as "bacterial SSU rRNA". It matches the Rfam family "Bacterial small subunit ribosomal RNA", at positions 496 to 795 of the family's 1533-position model. The record is from RNAcentral.
CGCAACGCGGGGCCGGGAGCCGCGGGACGGCGGGGGGGGCAGGCGUGGCUGGGGAUUACUGGCGGGAAAGGGCGCGUAGGCGGAAUGGCAAGUCGGUCGUGAAAUCCUUCGGCUCAACCGAAGAACGUCGAUCGAAACUGCCGUUCUUGAGGAUUGCAGAGGAGACUGGAAUUCCCGGUGUAGCGGUGAAAUGUGUAGAGAUCGGGAGGAACACCGGUGGCGAAGGCGGGUCUCUGGGCAAUUCCUGACGCUGAGGCGCGAAAGCGUGGGGAGCAAACGGGAUUAGAUACCCCGGUAGUC